AUGUGCGGGAACCUGUCAUCGAUCUCUAACUUCUGGUGGGGCGAAGUAAAUGGUCAGAAGCGGGUGCAUUCGAUUGCUUGGGAUAAGAUGUGUACGAUAAAACAUGAAGGGGGACUCGGGUUUCGUGACCCAGAGGCAUUUAAUCAAACUAUGCUUGCUAGGCAGGCGUCGCGACUGAUGCAAGUUCCAACCUCUCUGUGUGCCAGGGUUCUUAAAGCAAGGUAUUACCCUGACAACUCCAUCCUAAAUGCAACAUGCCCGAGGGGCUGCUCGUACACGUACAGAAGCAUUCUGUAUGGAAGAAACCUGCUGCUAGAUGGGCUCAUAUGGAGAAUUGGUGAUGGGUCGAAGAUCAGGGUGCAUCACGAUAAUUAG
Molecule: ribosomal RNA, 375 nt
Filed under: Triticum aestivum (bread wheat)
Lineage: Eukaryota; Viridiplantae; Streptophyta; Magnoliopsida; Poales; Poaceae
Description: partial small subunit ribosomal RNA
Source: RNAcentral